CGGCCGUGCAUUCCGGCAGUUUGGCCGGGAUUUUGGCUCCGAUUUGGCCACAGGAGGAAUCAGCGUGGAAAAACGAGUCGGAGGUACGAAAUUUACCUUGAUCGGCGGUCGGAAGUUCCUCCGGUGCGGCGGCGGGUGGCGGCGGCCGGCUUCUGGUUCGUCUUCUCCGGCGAGUGGCAGGCGGCUAGGGUUUGUGGUCUGGUGUGGGGGUUCUAUUUAUAACCUCUUGCCUUUUGAUCUCAGCCGUCCAUUUUGUUUUAAUUUGGACCGUCCGUUUUUGAUUAAAUCUGGGCCGUCCGUGCGUUUAAAUCUGGGCCGUCCGAUCG
This 326-nucleotide long non-coding RNA is filed under the name Carica papaya (papaya). Its description in RNAcentral is "long non-coding RNA (CPAP_LNC009852)". Lineage: Eukaryota; Viridiplantae; Streptophyta; Magnoliopsida; Brassicales; Caricaceae. The record is from RNAcentral.